CUGUGUUGUUCAGAAGUUCCCAAUUAGCAUCUUGUCUACAGUUGUGUGUGGGUGUCACCUGGUUCUGGGCUGCCCUGUGAGGCCCCUUGGAGCCUCCUUCCCACUACACUUGUAUAGAAAAGAGCUGCCAGCAUGCUUCCCCUAUGCCCAACACGCCUGAACCUCUUCAUCCUUCUAAAUCGUUUAUUUUCUGUAGCUCAAUCUUCCUAGGGAAUUUACUCCUUCCCCCAACACUCCUCACCCCACUCCCUGUAGAAAACUUCUUUGAGUCUCCUGGAACAGUCUGUGCACUCAUCUAUGCACAACUCUUUACAGUCCUGUAGGUGAUCACUCUGUUUCCUCUGUCUGUGUUUUCUUCUCAGAAAGUCCUUUCAAUCCUUCAUAUGUGCAGACUUGUACUGUCACCCCAACCUGGUUCUAGAAGGUUUCUUGGCUCUUUGGUCUGUGACAUUCCCUUCAUAGUGCCUGUCACAGCAGUGAAGGGGUUGUCGAUUUCAGUAGAUCCGGAAGGGUGAGCUCCAAAGGGAAGGGACAAGGGGGUGAAGCUCUUGUGCAAAUAAGCUCUCAUCUCAUCUUUCUCAGAGAGCAAACUCAGAAACUCAUGCUUCCAUUCUGUUCAGGUGGUGCUCAAAGAAGGUUCGGGACUUGUGGUGGCAGGGAAUUCCUCCGAGUGUGAGAGGCAAAGUAUGGAGCUUGGCCAUUGGCAACGAGUUGAACAUCACCCACGGUGAGUGGCUUGCAUGAUCAUAGGUGUUAAGGUCCAUCUUGGGGUUCUGGGACUCCCUUGUGUCACUUUUGCCAUGUUAGAGAGGAUGGUAACCACUGCCAUGAAGCUGUGGUGGAAAGGCCAGGUGAAUAUGUCUUUUCUGAGAAGGUGCCUGGGUAGUGAGUUCAGUACUGGCUGCUCCACUUUCUGGAGAGGUCAAAGCAGGUUUCCUAUAGAAAAGGACAGCAGACCCAUGGCUCCAAUUCUCAGUGGAGUUGGGUAGGCAGAAUCUCUUCUCAGAGUCAGACAGGAGAGUGGAGGUGGUUAGGUACUUAGGGUACCCUUUGGUGGUUUUUGUGUGUGUGUGUGUGUGUGUGUGUGUGUGUGUGUGUGUGUGUGUGUGUGUGUGUGUGUGUGUGUGUGUGUGUGUGUGCUUUUUCAGCUCUAGAGAUGCUAGGGCUGGUAUCAUUAGGGCAUUAAGCUAGUAUGGGAGGGAGGGAGAGAGGGAGACCCUUUCUUGAAGUUUUUAAGCUGUUUAUCAUGUUUCUCAAUUACUUAGCUCCAUACUAGAGUGGUUGAUUAGAAUAUGCAAAGCCCUGGGUUUAAUCUCUAGUAUUGGAACUUUGAGGAAAAACAAAUGGGCAUGGUGGUAUACACCUGCACUUGAGAGGCCGAGGCUAAAGGGUUGUUGGGAGAUUUAGAACAGUCAGGGCUACAGGGUGAGACCCUGUCUCUAAAGCAAAACAGAUCAUCAAGUCUCUCAAGUGCUUAGCUUUUGUGUGUGCUCUGCCACACCAGCCUCAAUUACUUCUGUCUCUAGUGCCCUGUUGGACUCUGGAUGUCAGAGUUCUAGGAGCACACAGAUCAAACAUGAAGUCUUAAUUCGGGAGAGUCCCAUUUCCUCCUGUUGAAAGUAAGCUGCUCUGGCAGGCAGGCCUUUCUUCUUCAUGUUAUGGUCCUGUGCCUACCUACACAUUGAAGUCAAGCUGCUUUAACUCUGGUAGAGGCGUAAGUUUAAGGCAGAUUGCUUCUGCUUUACUCCUCUAGUUAGGUAUUGUGUUCAUCUUGACAGUGUAGCUUCUCCCAUGACUGUAGCUGUCAGUUAGGUGGUGACUGGUUUUCUUCAAGAAGGAUAACAGGGCAGGAAACCUUCUUCUCCAAACUAUAACACAGAUAAUAAAAACCCAGAGAUAGAUAUUGGGGUUCAAGCUGAAGAUCAGAAAAGCAAAGCAGCCAGCUACUAGCUCUAACCUCUGCCUUAGACCAAAAUGGGUGAUGCUGUCUCCAUGAAUUCUCAGAGUGCAAUCCAAACUGCCCUCCUCUCCACCGAGUCUCAGAGCUCCUGUCUCCUCCCACCUUACAUUCCUCUCUCCGCCCAGAUUUAUCACUUCUGUGUCCACCUCCCUAGUGCUGGGAUUAAAGUUGUAUGAUUCCAAGUGCUGAGAUCACCUUUGUGUGAGCUGUUUCUCUUUUAGACUGAAUCAAUUUUGUGUAGCUCAGUGUAGCCUUGAACUAACAGAGAUCCAUCUGCCUCUAUCUUCUGAGUCCUAGGAUUAAAGGUGCAUGCCACCACUGCCUGGCCACUAUGGCUAGCUAGUAUGGCUGCUGGGAUUAAAGGUGUGUAUCACCACUGUCUGACUCUAUGGCUGUUGCUAGCUUUGUACUUUGAUCUCCAGUACCUUUAUUAAAUCAUAAAUAUUAUAUCACCACACCAAACUCCUUUUCUGGCUAAGUCUAUUCCUGCCAAAAUUUUCACUGUAAGAUCCUUAAAUGAGAAGAUGUGUAAUAUGUGAUUUGAAAUAGAUCUUAGCCUCUCAGAAGAAGAGGUGAGAAGUUGCUGAGCAUACAAAGAUCUGUGUGCUUGAGUCUUCUAAACUCUACCAACAGUUCCUAUAUGGCUAAUUGGAUACAACAUAUAGUGUUUGCAUUUUUAAUUUUUGACUCUCACUGAUGCUUGGGUUUAAUUUACUUAAAUUAAAACCUGUGAUGGAUUAGAUGAAGACAGAUGGGCUAAGCAGCUACCUAAUUGUAUAUACAUCUUGCCCAUUUACCUGUGCCUUGGUACUAGUUCACUCUGUCAUAAAGCAUAUGUCUGUCUGCAGUGAAUGCUGCAUCUUGUGCAUUGCCCCUACUAUAGUGACCUUACUGCACUGUUCUACUCUGUCAUUUGUGCCCAGCCUAAUCUUCUUCACAUGGCAGGUGCCCAUAAAGUAUUUGUUGAGUAAAUAAAUGUACUUUAUGAACUUGCUUCUGACCUCAUUUUACUGUUUCUUCCAGCCAGUCUGAGACAGUGAUCUUGAUCUGUUGGGUGUCAAGCACCAUCUGAGGUUCACUAACUCAUGUCUUAUUCAACAUCAGCUGUGAUGGUCUCAGGCAGAUCUUGGGGGCCUCAUUUUCUUGAAAAGGUUAGGCACUGUGCCCUGUAUCUGUGGCUAGUAUGUGUGGGAUCAAGGUUCUCUUUCCACUUCUGGCUGGUUCUGAAGUUCAUGUUCUGACUUGGGAAGACCCAGAGUUUUAUUCUUUUUGUGGUUGUAGAACUGGUAACUUACUAAGCUUGGAACAGGCUUUGUGCUCCUGUUUAUAUUUCAGCACUAGGGGCAGGGAUUGGUUUGACAACAACAAAAUCCAAUAACAAACAACAUCAACUCCCCCUGAUAUACACACAACAUCCACAUAAAACAAAACACCCAAGCCUUACUCCCAGGGAAGAUAGGCUUGUACUUUGAAAUUGGGGCUGGUGGCCUGGUCCCAUGACUUACCAGGUAAAGGCACUUACCAUGCAAACCUAGUGAUCUAAAUUUAAUCCCUGAAACCCAUAUGAAUGUAGAGGGAGAGAACUCACUCCACAGAGUAUGCUGUGUCACAUGUGUGUCCCCCUCCCCAUCAUACACAUGUGAUACACAUUAGUAAGUAGAAUUUUAAAAUGAGGUUGGAGGUGGGGUCCUGAGAUAAAAGUAUAUUCAUUCUGCUCUAUCUGCUAUACAUGCUGACAGUAAAACUGGAGGAGAUUCUGUGAGCUCAGACAUGGACUCUUUAUUCCUGGGUGGCCAGUUUCUGCUUCUAGCUAUCAAGUUCUUCACUUGUGAUGUGGAACCCUGAUGGUCACAUGCCAUGCAGUUGUUUUGUGUUCCUCCUCUGAAAAUGACAAAAAUGUUUUGAACCAAACCCUAAUCUUAGAUUCCAAGCCUGACUUGUCCACUAAGGAAGUCUUAAUAGUCUGAUUAGGUUUAGUUGCAGCAGGAAAUUUCCAGUUGUUCAGCUUUUUAAAAGAACAAAGCUGAGGCUUCCCAAAUAAGAACAUGCCCACCUCCUGGAAGUUGAGUGGGCAGAGGUCCCAGUGCAUACUGUGGCCCCCAGCCCUGGACACCUUGUGUUUCUUUUGGAUAACAAUGAUACUAAGUUGUAUGUCAUAACUGUGCCCUUUGCCAUGCAUGGCACACAAGCAUAGGUUGUAUGCAUAUUAGAGCUGUCAGAAGGCCAGAAUGGGAUCAUUAGUCAAGAUAUUACUUGCUGGAUUAUAAUAAUGUCAGUAGAAUGAGUUACACUUAGUAAAAUACACUUAGUAAAGGCAUCUGUGCUUGGCUUUACCCUGCAGAGUAAAUGAGGAAAAAGGUAAAGUGGUAAACACUCUGCUGUAGCCUCAGUGAAAGACAGUGAUUUGUCAGCAUUCCUCAGAUAGAGUAUGGGAGCUGGGAAUCAUACAUGCCAGAGGUACAGGGAGUGGGGGUGGUGGAGGAGCUGGGGCACGGAGAGACAAACCCAAUGCAUGAGACAUGGGUGUACCCAGGAGGUCUGUGUGUGCUGUUGAGUCAUGAGCAUGGCUUGUGCUCCAGUGGCCCAGUUUGUCAGUGUGUAAUAGUUAUUUGGAAGCUGAAGUUAUCUGACUUAUUAGUAAACUACCUGGGAAGCAGGCUACUAAAACACAGGUUCUGAAUAAGGAAGAGAUUUGGAGACUUAUGACACUUCUCUGACGGCAAGAAUCCUUGUUCUUUGAGAGCUCUGCCUGUUCAGGGUACCAAUUCCCACUCCCAACCCCCUUCCAGUAACAAGAUGAGGAAUUAUGUGCCAUAUGGGUAGCAAGCUCCUCAUGUACUUAUUUGAAGAUGGUGCUCAUCUUAAUCCCAGAAGUAAUAGUUCUGAAAGUUAAAAUUCUGAAUAUUGAAAUCCUGGAAACUGAAUUUCAAAAACAAUUCCCAUGGAGAAAAGGCUACAUGAGAAGACCAAAUUUCUCUGGAAGGAUUGAUCAUGCAAAGCAGCAGGGUCUAAAAUGCCAGUUUUUAAAAACAAACAAACAAACAACAAAAACUAUUUGUCUGCGGUGUUGUUUCUCCAAGCUAAUGACAUUCAGUAGCUUUUCAGGAACUCAAGCAGCAUUUGCCUGAAGAAGUCAGCAGUUACCUACUGGUUGAAAAUAAUUAUAUGGCAUACUUCUAGAAGCUGGCAGCAGUUUUAUAGGCUAAUCACUGGAACUGCUUCUGCAGCUUCUGCUACUAUGAUUUGUUGAAUGCAAGUGGAAUGCGUGCCGGAAGUAUGGUGCAGGAGGCCAGGCAGCACGUGUCACAGGGAACAGUCAUGUCUGUGUAUGGUGAAUCCUAGAGGAAUUUAGAAAAUGAACAUGGAUGUGUCCCCAAGUAGAACCAGGGCCUAACGGAAAGAGCAGCUUGGUGUACUGUGUCAGCCAUUGUGGGCUACCUUCAUGGAGCGGCCCAUAUUCUACCCCUGUAAAAUGGUUUCCUGUAUAAAAUGUCCUUUACUCUAUUUUGUUUUUAAGCCAUCACCCUCCCAAAUUGUCAGCAUUUUUUGCAGUUUGUUAUGCUAUGUGUGUGUCUCUGUGUGUUUUAAGAUUGUACUUGUUUUUUUUUUUUUUUUAAUUUUGUGGGUAUGGUGUUUUGCUUGCAUAUAUGUCUGUGUACUACGUGUGUGCAGUGCCUGCAGAUGCCAGACAGGGUGUUAGAUCCCCUGGAACUGGAGCUAACAGAUGGUUGAGCCACAGUGGUGCUGAGAAUUGAACCAAGGUCCCCCAGUGCUCUUUAGAUUGCCCCAAUUCAUUUUAUGCAUUUUUUUCAGAUCCUGCUAUAUGAAUGUGUGUUACUACGAUGUUGAUUGGGUAUGUGCAGAUUGGACAUCUGCAUUUGUAGAACAGUCUUUGAAGUCUGGGCUCUUUGGGUGACUAUAUGUGCAAUGGUAACCUAUCUUAGUUUUGACAAAGAUUUAGGUUGUCUGACCCAGUGUUUCACAUGGCCACUUAGGAAUCUUGGUGCACAGUUUAUGAACCAUAAUGAUAGUUGUUCAUACACUUUGCUUUUCAGCAUAUUUCUGUGUGUAUAGGUCACCUGCUUGUGAUUUAGGCAUAUAAUGUAUUUUAUUCACUGUGAUGCACAUGAAAUAUUCUGUUGUUUUUAUGUUUCUCAAAUCCCCUUCUUGAUGUAAGUAAAUGUCUUUAAUUUUUUUUUAAUUAUAUUUUUAGGGUUUUAGAUUUUUAAGGAUUUCAGCAUUUAGGAUUAAAACAUUUGGGGUUGUCUUUGGAGAUUAUGAUUCAAACCAAUUAGAAACCAGUUGGACUCUGUCCACCCAUCCCUUAGUCCAUAGAUGAGCUACUGAUUGGUCUCUUCAAUCCCCAGGGCAUUUGGUCUGGAUACAGAGGUAAGCAAAAGACUUUGACCAUCCAAGAAAGUCAGAGCAAGAUAUGAAUAAGUAGCUGCAUAGCAGAGGAAGGCACUGAAUACUGUGGCAGUGUUGGUGCUCUUUCUUUGUAAGUGGCUGUCUUUAGGCAGGGUACUUUCAGGCUAAGCUGGAGGAGUUGUUGGAAGAGUACCUUACUCUGUCUUGGUUAAGGAUAUAGUUGUGUUUUCUUCUCUGGUGUUGGUAAAGGAACAUGUACAAGUAAGACUCACCAGAGGCUUUUCUUUCAGAGCUCUUUGACAUCUGUCUUGCUCGGGCCAAGGAGCGGUGGCGGUCCCUUAGCACGGGAGGCUCAGAAGUGGAGAAUGAAGAUGCUGGGUUUUCAGCAGCAGACAGAGAGGCCAGUCUGGAGCUUAUUAAACUGGACAUUUCUAGAACAUUUCCUAAUCUCUGCAUUUUCCAGCAAGUAAGUAGUGGGGAUUUGUCACAAGUGUUCUCUGUUUAAGUUUUAGGACUGCUGAGCCACAUGUAUUUGUAGUCCUGUUUGAAAGGCUAGAUAGGGUUUUGGUAGGAAAUUAAGUGGGUGUCACUGACAGUGCAUUUAGAUAUUUAAAAUCAAUGUAACUUGUUCUUAUUGAUCAUAUAUAUAUAUAUGCUUUAAAGGUGAUUGGUUCAUUGUGCAUGCCAGAACCUCAGUAGACAGUGCGGAGGGCUUACCAGGAGGUAUGGGGAAUGGACUCUUGUUUUUCUGGAUGUUAGUGGAGCAAGAGAGGCCUCCCCUCAGUCAUUUGGGCACUGACUAGAAUGUCUGGCAGUAGAUCUUAGAAUCCUCUCUCAAGGCGUUGUGUUCUUUGAGCCAAGAGAUGUACGCCCAGAGUUCUCCUUUGAGACAUUCCUCCUGCAAGCUAACAGUAUCACCAGCUGUCUUCCACAAUAUUUCUACACCUUUCCCUUUUUAGUGCUCACUGCUUUAUUUGAGAGCCUAGCCAUUCAUUGUAGGUCACCACAGCAGCCCGCCCCCCACCUCUCCUGGCUGCCCUGCCUCCUUCUACUCACCUCCUUGCCUGCUGAUCAGUAUUGGAAUUUCCAGUUAUGCACCAUGAUUCCCAGUUUGUUAACAUGGUUUACACAUGGUGGCUUACUGGGAAAAGGUGGUGUAACAAACUGGGAUAAGUUGUUUAAGUGGCUGCAGAAUGAACAGGCCCAGAGCAUUGAGUUUAGGUGGGCUUGGGAGGAAUGUGGUUGGGCUGGACAAUCUGACAGCACAGGAGAGUCAGUGUCCCCUUCUGGAGUAUGGAACAUCAGAGGUCACAGAGUAAACAGUCUUUUCUGUGCAUGUACUAGGUUUAAUUAAUAUAGUCUUGCAGAGAGCAUGUGCUUGGUAGAAGCACAACUGGGACAGAAAUGUUGGGACCCUGUUCCUGUGCAAGAAUGAGUGUAGACGACACAGUUGUCCCUGCAACCUCUUUAGAGGGUUUCUCUGUUCUGGUGGAUGCAGAACUGGUAAGGACUGCUUCUAUGCUAGAGCAGAGUAUGUUGAGGUCAGAGUUCUGGGACUCUGAUUUGUGGCUGAGAAUCAGGCAGCUAGGAGGACGUGGCCAGGCAUCAGGCCAGGCUUCAAGGGUAGCCUGAGUACUGUGGGUGCUUAGUGAGGGAGGGUCAAGAGAAGGCUUUGGGUUCCAGUGACAGGGUUGUUGCUGUCUCAGUGAUUCCACAAAGCAGGGUCUCAAUGUCUAGCUGUGGAGGAUCUUAAUUCAGCUGGAAAUGUUUGCAUUUAAGUUUUUAGGACUCUUUCAGUCAAGGCAAGGGAAAAAGUCUAUAAAGCUGUCCAGAAGUUUGGUCUAGUGUCUAGCCUGGACCAUAAGCCCUGGGAGUAUUGCCCAGCUUGGUGGCAUGUGUAGACUCAGCUGGGAAGCAUCUUCAGCAUAGUCCUUUCUCACUUAGAAGGAUUGUCUUUCUCCUCUCAGCACACUUCUGUAGGCUCACACCAAACCUUGUAGGCUCACACCAAACCUUGUAGCUCACUCCCUGGUUAUCUCCUUAGAGGCCUUCUGCUUGUUGAAACUUGGGUCUUUCCACCUAAGUGGGACUCCUGUGACUCAGCUCUGAAGGGGCUUAGGCAGUGCUGCUUUAUGAAGGGGGUUAACUUUGGUCUCAGAGAUUUGGGUUUCGUUCUGAUCAGUUGCCUUCUUGUUAGUAGUUUGGCCUCAGGUAAAACAUUUGAUCUCUUUGCCCCCAAAUCUGUUCAUCUGUGAUUGGGGAUGAUCUAUGCAUCCUUAAAGCUUUGUUCAUAGUACUUGACUCACAGAGGGAAGCCAUCAGUACUAUACUGUUAAUUAUCUUUGACUGUAUUUGAAACUAAAUGACAGUGGGAUCCACCCAAGACUAAAGGUUUUUCACUUCAAGCAGCCCAGAAGUGGGGACAUGGGAGUCUUCAGAUGGAGCUCAUGGUGCCUGAUCUCUUGACUGUCAGGGAGAAGCUCUGUACUCUUUCUCAUUGGCAGAAGUGAAACCAUAGAUUUUACAAGGAAGCAAGUAGGACCAAGAGCAUGGCAGGGCAGGCUUCCCGUAAUGUUUCUGAAGGUCCUGCUGUGCUGAUGGCCAAACCUCAGGGUCAUGGAGCCUGUGAAGGCUCUGCAGAGGCUGAGGCUCAACUUUGCAUUACUGAGUCUGAGAGGGCGUCUCCUGAAACAUGGUCCCUAAAUGCUGCUUCAGAAAUGUUGAAAUGGAGGGUUCCUUGGUGCUUACUUGGGAGCAGAGGGUGAACUCUAAAGAGAGAGGACAUGUACGCUCUGUGGUCCUUUCUGGGUAGGUUGUUCUCUCAGGAUUCCUUUGAGACUUACGUGGUCAGUGGUUUAUAGUCUUGGGAACGGAUAAUAUGAAAUAUAAAGGCUGAGGAGAGAACUUGAGAAUCCAGCACAAGUGAAGGGCACUCAGGACAAGGAGCUGGCACCAAUAUGAGGGGAUGGAAUGACAAGGUGGAAAAUCCUUUAAGGAAAAAACAGUAUAGUUUUUCUUAGUCUCAGAUCACAUAGAAUCUCUUUGCAGUCACGCUAGUCAUCGAGUCAGCUCAUGGAUCUGCCACCACUGUCCACAGCCCUGUAUUUUGCCUUCCCCACCCCUAUUGUAUUUUCUUUAUUUGGCUCUUUGUGCUUUGCAAAUGUCUCUUUGAUAUAGCUUUUUUAAAUAGAUGAGAGUGUAAUGGUCUCUACUGGGAGUUGUGGCAUAUACUUGUAAUUUCUAUACUUAAGAGGUUGAGGUAGGGAUUUGGCUAUUCUUGGCUAUACAGUGAGACCCUAUCACCAACCAACUAACCACUCAACCAACCAAAUAAAAAAAGAAAAUGUGAUCACUGGUCUCUGUCAUUCCUUUGUAAGCUACCCAUAGGCACCUGUGGAGUGACUUCCUAGUCAUAUAUGCCAGAAAGGAUAUUUAGUCUUGUGUUAUAUGAAGGCAUGUGGUAGAUGGAGGCACUAGGAACUUCAUUUAGGUCCAGCUAGUUCCUUUAGAGUAUCUCUGGUACACUAGUAACAUCAGUGUGGGACAGCUCUGGUUUUAUCUCCUUGUUGCAAGAGCAAAUGGGAGUCUUGGCAGGUAGGAGGGCUGGGAGAGCACUUGAAAUGAAAUGGAAUCUACUAGGAGCUUUCCAAACCUGCUGUUUAGAAAAAAUGCAGAGGAAACAGAGUGAUGGGCAAAAGAGAGGCAGGAUGAACCAUACUUGUUGUGGGCACAAGGCUAAGUCUCAGCAGUCUUGUCACUUGCCCUGAGGAAUCUUGGCCAUCUGGUUUACCUACUGAACUUGGAAUAGAGCAUGAUUCUAUAACAUGAGCCAAAGGAAAGACAUUUCUCGAGGAUAUUGCUCACAGCUGACCCUUUAGCUUUUCUAGAGUAGCUUCAUAGACAGAACUGUAGAUUUUUCAUUAACAAGUUACUAGCUCAUUUAUUAAAUUGCAUAAUGCAUCUAGAGCUGCUCAGCAAAGCCCCUCCUGUAUGAUCAGCAGGAUGACAAUGGUGACAGUAGCAACAAUGGUAUUAGAUGAUAUUUUAAGACUAACAAUACUUAUGCAUGUGUUGAUUUUGGUAUGUCAAUCCUUUUAGGGUGGUCCAUAUCAUGACAUGUUGCACAGUAUUUUGGGCGCUUAUACUUGUUAUCGGCCGGAUGUGGGUUAUGUAAGUGAUGCUUUCCAGUUUUUUAUGAUGUUAUGGUCUAUAAAGAAAGUCAAAACAUUGCCCAGUUCUCAUAUUGAAUGCUGUUGUGGCCUUUUGAAGAAUAUGAAAAAUCUUGAGAUAAAUGGGUUGAUUCAGUUUCCUUGGAGAAAUUGGCUUGACAUGGCUAUUCUGUGGCAUUCAUCACAUUUUAACUAGGGUGUGAUGUUUAUUUUUUGCAUGUAAUUUACCCCCAAAAUUAAAUAGAGAAGGCUUUACACUUAACCAUUUUUCAAAAGUGUGCUGCUACUAUACCUGUGGCUAAACAAGAUGUGUAUGUAUGUACAGUCUUACUUAAGCCUACUAAGUUCAUACAUGUGACCACAACCCAGCAUGGCACACACCAGAUGGCAUUAUUUCAGAUGUCAAAGGCCUAAAGUGGGGUUGGCUUAUGAUUUUCCAUUAGAAGGGGUAGAGGACAAAGGGAAAGAGCAGGUGGCCGAUAGGCAGAGCUGUGUGGCUCUGAGGAGGGUGGGUCUGAUAUAACAGGGUUUAUUUAGGGAAUGAAUGGGUGGCUGUGAGGGCCUUUUUAGUGGGAAGGUGUUUUGGUUCCUCUUAGUUAGAGCUGCUCUGACUUUUGUGGCCACAUUAGUUAACAUAACCUUUCUCUCCUUCCUCAGGUUCAGGGCAUGUCCUUUAUAGCUGCAGUUUUGAUCUUGAACCUAGAUACUGCAGAUGCCUUUAUUGCUUUUUCUAACCUUUUGAAUAAACCCUGUCAAAUGGCAUUUUUCCGAGUGGACCAUGGCCUUGUGAGUAUGCUCUAUGUAUGUCCCAGUACCAUGUCUUUAUGCAGCAAGAACUACCCAAUCAUUCUGUCUUUUCAAGGCAGAAAAUGCAUAGUGGACUGUUUGUAAUGAAAAACACAUGAACUUAAGUACAGAAACAUAUAGUCCAUUGCCCCUUGAAUGAACAGAUUAAUGCAUUUUCUGAGAGAGACAUUGUAUCUGAAAUGCUGUACUCUUUCAAUGGCGGUGGAGCAUGCGUUCUUUGCAAGUAUAUGCACUUUGUGUUAGGGAGAUGUAACAGCAGUGCCCUCCUUAGUUGAAUAGAACACCUGAGGGCUGAUGUGUGCUGCUGCUCACUGUCUCCGAGGGACUCUGCUCUGUGCAACACAUGCAGACACAGGAGGAAGGAGAUGUGCUCCUGACCAUAUUCCCUUACUUUGAUAAGGCAGUGGUUUAGUGUGCUGUGUAGAUGGCCUUUACCAUUGGUGGCCUUUAAGAGACCCCCCCACAUAUUUCACAGCUGAGUCCCUGCAUUGUUCAGAUGUGGAAACAGACUGAAGAGGGAAGUGGCUUGUCCAAGACAUGUCUGGUACAUGGGAGAGCUGAGGUUUGAAUCCAUUCUGGGUCCUAAACUUUGUUUUUACUGGAAGAAAACUCACUAUUCCAUCAGCUUUUGAGUUGGUGUUGCUUUGAUUUCCUGGUCAUUAAUACUAGUCUAUCAAGACCUCAACUAUCUGAUGGUAUAUGUCAGCUUGGAGCCCUUCUUCCUAAAAUGUCUUCAGAAUCCCAGUAGUUUUUGUUCUGAAGCUGCUGCUGUCUCUGGCUUUAAGGGAGUAUCAGCUGUUAGGGUCCUUCAGGAAGAUUAUUUGGUAUUCCAUUUCUGUAGCUCAAAGUGGCUUUGGUACAAAGUUCUUGUAAGAAUUGGUUCUGAAACCUGGUGGCAGUAGCACAUGCCUUUAAUCCCAGCACUUGGGAGGCAGAGGCAGGUGGAUCUCAGUGAGUUCAAGGCCAGCCUGGUCUACAAAGUGAGUUCCAGGAUAGCCAGGACUGUUACACAGAGAAACCAUGUCUCGAAAAACAAAAACAAAAGUUGGUUCUGAGAAAAAUCAUAUUUGUAAACAAAGCAGUAUGCAUAGAUUGUUAUUAUAUAAUUAUUUAUAAUUGUAAAUAUGAAAAGGGUUUAAAAUGGGGUUGGGGAAAUGGGGUGGUAAAUGAAAUCUGCCAAGACCCUUAGUACAGCAGUGACUCACUGCUGUGUAAGGAGUGUGAGAUAGAACUAGUACAGCAGUCACUCUGUGUAACACUGUUAAACAGGGGAUAUACCUCAAAGCAGUAGCAGUUAUGGACAGGCACUUCAUGAAUAGUAUUUUUGUCAUUUUUUUGUUUCAUAUUUUGAGGCCUGGUCUCACUGUGUAGCCCAGGCUAGCCUUAAACUCCUGUUCCUCUGCCAUAGCCUCCUAACUGCUAGGAUUACAGGGAAUCCCACAGGCUUGGCUUGUUGCUUCUGUGCUAAGUUUUCGUCACUGAGCAGUAUAGGGACCCUUUCAUAAGCAGAUAAGAACUUUUCAAGAGAAGAGUGAAAUCUUUAGGAGAGAUUCUCACCCUUGACAGCUUGUUGCAACUAACAUACUGACUUUAUAUUGCCUGUGUAUUAGUCCUAGGAGGUAGUUCCUGAAUGUCAACUUAAAUUUGCUUUGUUUUGGCUGAUAACCCAGCUGGCCCUGAAUUCAUAAGCCUACUGUUUCAGCCUCCUGACUGCUGGGGUUAUAGUUGUGUGCUACCAUGUUGAUCUUUAAUUUUCUCUUUCUAUAUUUAGAAAGAUGGUACUGUUUUCUGCUAAUUUUGAAGACCCCAGCUUUCUGUCUUUAAUAUGGAGUGAGGAAAGGGAGAAGUAGCAUUGCAGUGUUGAGUGGGACCUUUGCUCUGGGCAGCACUGACAAGCUUUAGGCUAGAUGACUGCUGUAGGGGUUCCUGCUCAUUGAAGGCCUCCGCAUACUAACGCUACGCCUUCCCACACAUGUCCCUAGACAUUGCCUCAUGUCCUGUGGUUUACAGUGUAGUCCCUUCAUGAAAAUGAGUAAAAGAAAUCAGAGUUGGGUUCUGCCUCUGCACUUGGUGGAUGAUCAGUAGAGAAGACUCGCCACCCCAAGGCAUGGUUGCUCCCAUCCAGCAGGAGCUCUUCUUCCUUCAUAUUGAUUGCUUCAUGAUGUCUCUCCUCCCACCCUGCUUUCUUACAAAGCUUUUAAGAACCUGGCCUGUUGCUGCCUCCUUCUUGUAGUGUCUUCAUUUGCUGUGAUCAAAGGCCUACAUGUUUAAGCAGGAGCUGUGUUGCCCUUCCCUCAGACUCUAGUCUUGUCUCUUUCUCUGUGAAUGCACUAGGCAUGGGCAGCAGGCAGCUUGCUUUUCCAGGUUAUCUCUCACAAUGCGGCUCCAACCUCCAUAGCAUUACAGGCCGUGGUUCAAGUCCCAGCUCUAUCAUGUACCGGUUCUUUGCCCCUGUGUGGCAAGUUAAGCAAUUGCUCUGGGUUUCAGUGUCUUCCCCCUGUAACUCGAAGAAAUGAUAGGAUGUAAACAGAACUGCUGUGAGAUGCUUAGAGAUAGUAUUAUGCUUAUCUACAUGUUACCUACCUGGAUAACAAUUAUUAGAUUCAAAGUGCAAGACUCUUGACUCUUGUGGAUUGGAAACUGCAUACUGAUAAUUAGUUUACUAGUGUAUUUAACAUUGUCUCCCUAGAUGUUGACUUACUUUGCUGCAUUUGAGGUAUUCUUUGAAGAAAACUUGCCGAAAUUGUUUGCGCAUUUCAAGAAAAACAACUUAACUGCAGACAUCUACCUAAUUGAUUGGUAAGACUCAGCUUUUUUGCUUUCCAGAGCAAUUCUCAUCCCUUGCCCGUUUUCCUGUUGUCACUGUCGCUUUCUUGGAGGACUCAGCUGAGUCUCCUUGUCCUGCUUCCCAGCUCCCCUCUGCCUUGAAUGACUAUUUUUUUUUUUUUCCAGGCUCUUUGUCACAGUAUGUGACUUGACUGACCUUCUAGACUCCCUCAAUAGACAGUGUAUUAGACCUUCUGUUUUUAAGGCACUAUUGCCAAUCCAUUAAAUGAGAUGUCUCUGGGCAGCAAGUGCAUUCCACACCUUUUACUAGAAGUCCACUGAUGUAAUAUAGGAGCUUGAGUAAGUGUGGAAGGGAGAAGCAUCAUGUGAGUUUCAGAACUUGAGUCACUGUGCUGCCAAGUAGGAGAGACUGAGAUAGAAAGGGAGAACUCCCAACCUAGGAUGAUGGGGUGUGGGAAACAGCAUAUAGGUGCCUCAAUAAGCCAGAGCAUAGCAGCUGGGCUGGUGGCAUUGGGGGGCAUCAUAAAAGGCUGAGGAUAAAGGUGGGGAGUUUGAGAAAUCAGAACAUCUGAGUCUCAGAGGCCAAGCUGUGGGCCACAGAAGAUGACUGACAGCCUGUGCUUGUUGUAUAAGUCGGCUCCAACAGCUUGAGAGGUAGGAGCUCCUGGGUGAGAGCUCAAUGAAGGAAAGCAAGGCCUGAUGGAAAUUAGGGAGAAGAGUCAUUGACAGAUCCUAGGAAUGUGUUGUGGACUUGCCAGGGGAUCAUGGUGUUUGUGAUAGUACUGAUGAGGGAUUGCUGGUGUCAGUGGCUGAUAUCUGAAACACAGAGGGAUAGAUUUGACUUUGAGCAUGAAGAUUUUAUGAGAGAUCUAAAUAGAAGUUUCCUGAGACCUGUAAGGAGGAGGCUCCAGAAUUGUGAACUGGAACAGUAGAUCAGUUACAUCUCUGCACAGAAGUAGUUGUGGUCAUAAGGAGAGGGUGGCUGUCACCUUCAAGUGCACCAGGUUGAGGGCCAGGUAAGGGACCUGGAGACCUGAGUUCUGCAAGGAACAGUUGUCAUGUGGUAGAAGAGUGGGCUUCAUGACCCCUGUGCCCUAGCCAGGCAUGAUGUACUGUGUUACCAUCUAUACAGGCCAGGGAACUCCUCUAAUUGUGCUCCCACAGAGACCAUGGUAGUUGACUGUUUAAAGCAUUUCAGGGUGACUACUCUGUCUUGGAGAAGGGGCUUUUUGUGGGGGAGAGAUGUCAUUUGGCCAAAAGGUACAUCUGGACAGCAACACUACCUCAGAGAGGUAAAAUAAACUUCCUCCACCACCCUGGACAGAGAACUGGAUUGGGUUUCUUCUCACUUUCUUCAUUAAACAAAAGGACUUCUAGAUGAUAAAUAAGUAUUGUCCAAGCCUAGGGCAAAUCAUUGAGUAGAGAAGACCUGUCUAUAUCCUUGGGAAUGAGUGUCAGAUAUCCAUUGUGUUGCUUCUGCCUUAAGCUGGUGACUGGUUCAGCUGACUGCAUGUAUGAGGGUUUGAACUUGUAGCUGAAGUCACUGGAGCUGAUGGAAGCACCAGGCUUAGAUGGGAAAGCUCAGCUGUCCUGUCUGCUUGUGCUAUGUAUAAAUGUUUGGAAUAUCCUUUUAAAGGGUUACCUUUGUUUAACAGGUGAUUUUUGUUCUCUCCAUGAACAUUUGAGUGCACAGAUGGCUCCUUGCUACCCUGAGCUUUGUAUCUAUAUUGGACUGUCACCUCUGAACCCUUGGGUCUCCCUUGCUUAGAACCCAAAACAAGAGGUCAUUGGGAGGCAGACCCUCCCCGCAGCUAGAAGCCUAGACAUCUAGCUGGUCCUAUUGAAGCCUUCCACAGGAAUUUUAGAUUCUAGGCUGGAUUCUAUUCAAUUUUUUUUUUUUCACCUUGGAUUAGAAAACACUACAUGUUAUGUGGUAACCCAGUAACAUUAACUUGUGUAUACUGGGACAGAGGCUCCAUGAAGCAGAACCACCAUGACAAUAUGGAGAAUGUUCUGAAAUGUUCUGUUGAUGAUGGUCUACUCUCACUGACUUGGAGUCUGAUGAUGGCUGACUGUGUCCUGAAAGCCAUAGCCUGAAGGGCAGCUUUGUUUGUUCCUGUCCCAGCCAGCAGGGCUGUGAGUCCAGGGUGUCCACAAGGAAAGGAAGCUCUGUGGGGUUUUGUUCUGAGUCCUUUAUGUCAUGAUGUGGUUGAUGCCCAAGCCUUCUGAGUACUGUUCUUCCCCGAGGGCCUGCAGGGUGGCUUGUUCCUCAUAUGAUGUUGCUAUCUGGAAUAAGGGCCAAGUAGGGCACCUGCUGCAUGUGCAGUCCCAUUACGGGGUUAGGCACACAGGAAGGCUCUAGAAGUGCUGUGCUAAAGUUGAACUAAGUUGAGGGAGUGCCUUCUCCUGAUUGUCGUUACUAUUUACUAAUGGUCUGCAGUAAGUCUUGCUCUUGGUAGGUGCUGAUGGUCAGGGGAAGCCUCAAUCACUAGAGACUGUGUGUGAAAAUACUCAUUGCUUUGUCUCUGAAGUUUUCUCACCCAGUGUCACUCUCUAGUGUGCGUGCUAUAUAGUAUGACUCCAGAGCCUUGCUCCUUUUGUGUCCUGCCACCUCCUCAAGCCACAUCUACACUUAAAAUUACUGGGUCUGCAUUCAAUUGUGUUCAUGUGGCCUACACAGUACACAGUGUGUCGGAGGUGUCCAGCCCCAGGGAUUAAGUGACUGUUUGAGCUACCUCCUCUUCUGUAUGGCUCCAUGGGUGCUCAGAGAUGGCUAUAGGGUGAGCAGACACCUGGAUGCCCUGCUGUCUACCCUUCUCCAACACUGCCUAUACACACAUAAUUCCUCUCAGAGCCUCAUGGUUCACUUCUAUAUCCUCAAGGCCUCCAUCCUGGGUUCAAGUCCUGGGCGGGACAAGGAUGUUUCUGUUUCCAAGGGUUCCUUUAGGUGCCAGUGGCCUAAAGCCACUUGUCCACUUGUUUUGCUGCACAGACUCCUCCCCUUAUUGCCCUGCAGGAGAGAGCUUCAUGAAGAAAGCUGGCCAGAGCACUUGUUUAGCCGUGGGCUGUCUGCCUCUCUGCUGUGGACUUGAAGAUCAGAGAAAUGGCCUGUCAGCUAUCUUCAUUUCCUAUGGAGUUUUGAGUGUUCUGACUAUCAAGGCUCUAGAUGCUAUAGGGGAGCUGAUCAGAGGUAGCUUAACUUUCCAAAAGAUUUCUCCCUUAUAUCUAAUGGCAGACUUAUUUCAGGAUGUGAGUGAGUUUUGUAACAAUAAUAUUGAGCUAGUCAAAAGACUUAGCAGAGUGAGAUAUAUAUAUAUAUAUAUAUAUAUAUAUAUAUAUAUAUAUAUAUAUGAUGAUGCUUUGAGAUGAAGAGCUGUCGCUCUGUGGGGUUUCUCCUUAUGGGGAAGGUUCAAGGAAGUGGAUGUCGGUGAUUUGGGUUUUCAUUACAUUCUGUACUAAGUUCAUUCAUGGGUUUCAUCUUCUGGCCUAUGGAUCUGCUCCAGGAUACCUUGAGGUUAGGUAACACAUUGGGGAGAGAGAGAUAGGGAGGGGAGGGGAGAGAGAAAAUCCUCCAUUGUCCUCUGGAAGCGUGCUGGCUAACUAGCCUUGAGUAUGGUAGAGAAAGCUGCAGCAGCACUAGCAUACAGCUUGUUUGAGUACAGGGCUUAUUGUUACCUCUUAGGUGCUGGACCAGAGAGGAUGCUGCUGACUCAGGGUAGGGGCUUGCAACAGAAAGUGCUUUUCUGACUACUCUUAGGAUCAGGAAUAUUUCUGGAUUCAGUGUAGGCAAGUCUACACUGGGAGUUAGCUGCCUUAGGCUCAUGCGUUCUUAACUUGCACCCCUGUUCUACCUGUUCCUGAUUUUCUUAGAAACAUGGGGAACCAGGUAGGAUAGUAGCUGAGGGUGCUCCUGAACCAUCGGUGGGUGAAAGCCUCAUUUCUAGGAGUCAUCCAGGUUGAGUAAGUUGGACACAGCUAGAAGUUGGUGCCAUGGCUUAUAGGUUCAAGUCAUUAGCCAUAGGUUCUCUAUGGGCAAGACUGUUAGGUGAAAUUUCCCCCACCCUAAGCUGUGAUCAGGUUUCUACCAUGCUCUUUGUUUUGAAUAAUGUCAUCUGCAAAGUGGAGGUGAGACUGCCUUCUCUUGGGGUUGUAUUAAGGAGGCAUGCCCCAUGGAAGAGCAAGAGUACCUCUGGGUCGCUGUUGGCAGCCUGGGGCUGCUCACAUGUAGCCCAGGGUCUCUCUGUAAGGAGGACUGGCUCACUGGGGGGGGGGGGGUCUGUCCUAUAGCUUCAGUUGUUUUCAUAGCUAACCUAAUGAUUAGGCUGGGCAAAGCUAGAUAAAAAAAUUUCUGGGAAUAGUGAAGGCUCAGCAGGAAAGAUUAUCCCUUCUGUCCACAUGUGUUAGAGAGAAAUGGAUGCUCACAUUGCUGUCUUGAAAGCCCAUGGCACUGGUGCAGCACCACAGAAAUGCAUUGCUUUGCAAUAAAAUAGUUGGACUCAGCCCUGAAAGUGUCUUGCUUAAUAUUUUGUUCAGUAUUUGAGGGGCCUGAGGGAGGAAACAAAGAAACAUUUCUUCUUGAAUUCUGUCCUCCCACUGUGGUGAGAACACCAGAAGGGCCUGGGAAAGCCAAGGGCCUUCACUGUCCACCCUACUCUUGAACAUAGUCACUGAUUGGGAUCAGGAUGGAACCUUAAGUCAUAGAAGAUGUGAAUUUGGACUCUAAGAUGUGGGAGGGCUAUGUGCAUAUAUCAGUCCUCAUAUUCUAUCCUCUUCUGCCGGGCCAGAGCCAACCUGGCAUCAGCUCCUGGCCUGUGACUGAGCAAAGUGGCUCACCAGCCUGUGGAUGUGCUGCCCAGAGUCCUAGAGUCAUUUGCAGCCAAGAGCAGAGGACAGGAGUUUAGUCACAACUGCAUACUCUUAGAGAAACCCAUACUUUGAUGGCUAUAGGUGUCCCCUGACCUGAGCAAAAGGGAGCAUGUUAUUAAGAUGGAGUCUGCAAGGCCCUAAAGAAGUGAAGGUAUGAAAGGCACGAAAAAUAACUCAGUAUUAAUAACAACAGAGCCCCUCCUUGCCAGCACUGUACUGUCUCUGAGAGAACAGUGGCUGCUCUGGAUGACAGAUAGGAAAGGGAUGCAUGAAGUACAAUGUGAACAUUGACAGGAAAAUCUUUGUUAAACUGUGAAGGCACAGGGAGAGGGCCUUCUACAAGCCAGGGGAAAGGUCUCAGAAGAAGCUGGGCAUCGCUGCUUAUUAUACCUUCAUGUCUCAUGAAGACACCGUAUGAGGAAAUAGAUGUCUUGUUUAAGCCCAAACAAGACAAAACAAAAUGCCCCCAAACAAAACAACAAACCAACAGGAAGACUCAUCUAUCCUGAAGGUCAGAAAUGGCCUCCCAAGGAAGUCACCCAGGGCUGAGACUUGGAUGAGGAGUCAUCUUCUAUGAAACAAAAAUUUUCUUUAAAAGGCACAUAAAUAUAAAGGUAAUAUAACAUUAAGCCAUAGUCAUUUGCACUCUUUUAUAGAACAAAUAUAGUUGUUAACAGUGAGGUCAGGUAGACUCUUCUAUGUGCAAUGCAGGCUGGAGAGCAGUUUGAUAGUCUUCACUUUCUGAUCCUGGUUGUCUUUUCUUGGCUUGGUGCUUUCUACACAGUCUAUAUGCACAGCUAUGUUGCUGGCACAGAACUUCUCUUUGAACCGACGUCAAUACAUGUAUCACUCGAAUGUCAGACUUUCAGCACAUAACAUGUCUCAAACUCAGAGUAUAAAAUGACAGUUUCAUCCUCUGGGUGGCUCAGCCAGUUACCUGAUGUCUUCAGUUUCUCCUUCGCUUCCCCACAACUAUCCAGGUCAUAGCUCCCCUGCUCCCUCUCUGCUCCAUGAGUGCAGCUAUCUGGGUCAUCUGCCCAGCCUGCAUCCCCUCCAGGAGCUGUCGGC
Molecule: long non-coding RNA, 20025 nt
Filed under: Cricetulus griseus (Chinese hamster)
Lineage: Eukaryota; Metazoa; Chordata; Mammalia; Rodentia; Cricetidae
Description: lncRNA (ENSCGRG00015041558.1)
Source: RNAcentral